This 722-nucleotide long non-coding RNA is filed under the name Cottoperca gobio. Its description in RNAcentral is "lncRNA (ENSCGOG00000007629.1)". Lineage: Eukaryota; Metazoa; Chordata; Actinopteri; Perciformes; Bovichtidae. The record is from RNAcentral.
UAUUUCUAAACAGCAUUGCAGCAAUGAAACAGGCACAUUAUUCCACUUCCAACUGCUGGGCAUGCGUGUCUCUGUUGUCUGUGGAGGGCAGCUGUAGCCGGGUCCUCUGGAUUUUGUUUCACAGAGACAUCAUGGACACAUUUCAUGCCUUUGAAGUUGAGCUUGAUCUUCUGACAACAAAGAGACUUUCAGCCUGAGAGCCACGACAGGUCCCCCGGGCUGUUUCCCACGAGAUGCAGUUUGUGUUGAACCAGCUUUCACUUUCUGGAACGACACUGCGCUACCGUGUUUACUGGAGCUGCCGCUCUGAUGUUGGAGUACUACUCCAUAAACACUGGAGCUGAACAGGAAGCUGAUGUCACAAACGGAGCAGAAGAGGAUGAAGCAAACUAGGAGGAGCGGUCCCUUCGCUCUGUCCCAGGCAAGAUCACCACGCCCAGUCCAGCUCUCUGAUGGAUACAACCUCCCAUCCCAUGAUGCCCUGGCACAGAUCCUACCAAAUGGUCGCUACCCUUUCAAGGAGGCAAGGACUGAGCUCCACAGAGCAGCCCAGCAAGAACAGGAGAGACCAGCAGAGAGGCCAGAGGCUACACAGGCCAACAAACCCAACAUUAACCACACCUAUCAAGUGCAUCAUGCACAUAAACGGUAAGAGAGACAACUACAUCCGAAAAUCAUGGAUUUAUUGUGAUGAUCAUUGCAUGAAUAAUUUUUUGGUAAGA